Molecule: non-coding RNA, 2399 nt
Organism: Macaca mulatta (Rhesus monkey)
Lineage: Eukaryota; Metazoa; Chordata; Mammalia; Primates; Cercopithecidae
Source: RefSeq, a predicted model, not a curated record
UAGCUUUCAAGCCACUCUUCUCUACAGAUACCCAAGCCCAAGCACCUGAGCACUGUCUUUCCCAUGCAGUAAUCAGAUAUUCCAUGGCAUGUCACUGAGCCCAGGUGUGUGCCCACUAGUGACACAGUGACACAUGGGAGGACAGAUAUGGAGAAGGGCCUGGAAGUAUUCUCCCAUUUGGGCAGACUAUUCUGGGGUCUGGAUUAUCUGGAGCAUGGUCUAGAAAGGGGAGCAAGUCUCCAGGUGGGCAUGUUCCCUUGUGCCCAUGGCUGUCUUGCUCCAUAGAGAGGAGUGGUUCCAGAAGAAAGCCAGAGCAAGAUCUCCAAUGUGAGAUCUAGAACAAGAGGUCCCUCCUGGCAGUGUCUAAGGAAGGAACUGGGAGGAGAAAUGAGACUGAAAAAUGAUUUCCUGGGAAAGACAGUAGAGAUGAGAAUAAGAGAGGUGUGGCCAUAGCAUCUGUUCCCAAACAGCCUGAGAUAUCUGAACCUCAAAUGAAAGAGCAGUUAAGGAAGAAAGGCUGAGCAACUGUGUUCACAAAAACAUUUGGGAGGUUCUGGGAAAAGACACAUGCCUUUCCAACUCCCAAGAACAUAGGAAGACCCAAUGCCAUUAAAACGGCUAGGCUUGACCUUGACCUUAGACCAUGUACAGUUUCAGUUGGCUAGAUGGCCACUAACAGAGAACAGAGUAGUCUUCCCUUAUCACCAUGUUCAAGGUCAGAACAACAGCAGCGGCACCCUGACAAAACAGCUCAGUGGGCUCCCAGAUCAGCCUUCCUUUCUUGAAAAGUAGGAACGAAGAAAAUGUGUUCUUAAAAUGAAUCAAAGUCUGUGGAGCUGUGCAAAGGAUGUUAAUUGACUCAGGACAGAAUCCAGAUUUGAGAUCGUGAAGAAGGGAAGAGUCAAGCUGAAGGAAGGAAAAGUUCUCCCUGGGAGUGACAUAUAACCAUCCUCUCCUUUACUAACUACUUAUGGACACAGGAUAGAAAAUAUUUAUACUAUUUUUGCAUAUUUUAAAGGUUUAAACAUCAGCAAAGUGAAAACAACUGACCUCAAAACGUGAUCUAACCCAAAGUAGUCUCAAAUCUCCCGUAAACAUUUUUGCAACACAAAGUUUCCAUGUCGUGGGAUUGAAGGGACUUCAGUGGUGGGCAGUAAAAGGAAAAACAGGCUUCUGUGUAUCACAACUCAGUUGAGUUUAAAGCUCCAUUAGCAGUGGCAUAUGGAGGAAAGCAGGAGCCUUGCAAAUUUAUUCUGUAACCAACUGUAGAGUUAGCAAGGGCUUAUAGCCAAAAUGAGAGCAACUAAAGCAAAUAGUAUCUAAUGACUGAGGAAAAGAAGCCCUUCCCAUGUCUAUGAGUUUUUAAAAAGUUCUAAUAAUGCAUUGGUACAAGUCCCCCAGAAGGCUGAAGGAUUAAAGAAACCCAAGUGAUUGCAAUCAGAGCUACGUUCUGGAAUUUAUUUUCUGACUGUGGGAGAAACUGCUGAGAUGUAGCCUUGUCAGCCUGAGUCCCUGGGUAUCUACAAUGAGCAGAGAUCCCCUACUGUCUCACCCUGGAUAUGUACUCCAAGAACUUCUGGAUGAGCUUGCUCCUGAGCCAUAAACAAGUUCAUCUUGACUGACUCAGCAAGAAAAGAUUAAUAGGAGUGUGAUGUAUUCAUUUCAUAAUAUCUUUUUAAACUAUAGAGAGCUAAGCAAAGUUUUGCAAACACAAAAUUUUAGUACUAUGGGAUAUCAGUGAGAAGUACAUAGCGGGGAGUGGACCUGAUAAUAUUGUAGACAAGAACCAAAUGGGUGCAGAAGGUAACGGAAAAGAAAAGAGUGGAAAUAAAGAUGGCUUGGAUGUUUUACACCUAGCAGAUAAAUUGUAAUGCCAUUUAUUUAGAGAAUACUUGAGAGCAGAGGGAACAAGUUAAGAAUAUUUAUUUUUGCCCUGAGGCCAUUAGCUGUAUCUAGCUGAUGUCUGAAAAUGAAAGUCUGAAAUUCAAGAGGGAGGUCAGGGAUAUAGAGAAGAGAAAGCAGUCUCACAUGUACUAUGAACUGGUAAUUCUUCUAAGUCUUUUACAUAUAAUAUCUCCUAUAAUGAUUAUAAUUUUACCAUUCCACUGGAAGAAAUGAGGCACUCUAAGAGAUUAAGCUACCCAGAUUUGGCGGUACUAUCCAUAAAGGAACAAAUAAAGCCUGAGAGAUAUUAUAGAGGAAACAGACAAGGAGACAAGGAAGACUAUAUUCAGGGUCAGGCAAAAGAAACAGGACACUAAAUAGGAACAGACAUUUUUACAACCAAGUGACAGAGAAUAGGUGUAGAGGACUACGUACUCGCAAACAAGACGUUCCCGAUAAGUCCUGCUCUUGCAAAUGAAGCAGGGCAUUCCUUCCCUGCAAACAGGGAGGACAAA